AUUGAACGCUGGCGGCAUGCCUUACACAUGCAAGUCGAACGGCAGCACGGGGGCAACCCUGGUGGCGAGUGGCGAACGGGUGAGUAACACAUCGGAACGUGUCCUGUUGUGGGGGAUAACCAGUCGAAAGACUGGCUAAUACCGCAUGAGCUGGAGACAGGAAAGCGGGGGACCUGAAAGGGCCUCGUGCGAUUGGAGCGGCCGAUGUCCGAUUAGCUAGUUGGUGGGGAAAGCCCACCAAGGCGACGAUCGGUAGCUGGUCUGAGAGGAUGAUCAGCCACACUGGGACUGAGACACGGCCCAGACUCCUACGGGAGGCAGCAGUGGGGAAUUUGGACAAUGGGGGCAACCCUGAUCCAGCCAUGCCGCGUGAGUGAAGAAGG
RNAcentral lists this ribosomal RNA (383 nucleotides) under uncultured bacterium. RNAcentral's name for it is "bacterial SSU rRNA". It matches the Rfam family "Bacterial small subunit ribosomal RNA", at positions 29 to 414 of the family's 1533-position model. The record is from RNAcentral.